RNAcentral lists this ribosomal RNA (510 nucleotides) under uncultured bacterium. RNAcentral's name for it is "partial 16S ribosomal RNA". It matches the Rfam family "Bacterial small subunit ribosomal RNA", at positions 28 to 507 of the family's 1533-position model. The record is from RNAcentral.
GACGAACGCUGGCGGCGUGCUUAACACAUGCAAGUCGAACGAAGAGCGAUGGAAGCUUGCUUCUAUCAAUCUUAGUGGCGAACGGGUGAGUAACGCGUAAUCAACCUACCCUUCAGAGGGGGACAACAGUUGGAAACGACUGCUAAUACCGCAUACGAUCUAACCUCGGCAUCGAGGAUAGAUGAAAGGUGGCCUCUACAUGUAAGCUAUCACUGAAGGAGGGGAUUGCGUCUGAUUAGCUAGUUGGAGGGGUAACGGCCCACCAAGGCGAUGAUCAGUAGCCGGUCUGAGAGGAUGAGCGGCCACAUUGGGACUGAGACACGGCCCAGACUCCUACGGGAGGCAGCAGUGGGGAAUCUUCCGCAAUGGACGAAAGUCUGACGGAGCAACGCCGCGUGAGUGAUGACGGCCUUCGGGUUGUAAAGCUCUGUUAAUCGGGACGAAAGGCCUUCUUGCGAAUAGUGAGAAGGAUUGACGGUACCGGAAGAGAAAGCCACGGCUAACUACGUG